GAUGAAGAACUCAUCGAAAUGCGAUAGGUAAUGUGAAUUGCAGAAUUCAGUGAAUCAUCGAAUCUUUGAACGCACAUUGCGCCCUUUGGUAUUCCUUAGGGCAUGCCUGUUCGAGCGUCAUUUCACCACUCAAGCCUCGCUUGGUAUUGGGCAACGCGGUCCGCCGCGUGCCUCAAAUCGACCGGCUGGGUCUUCUGUCCCCUAAGCGUUGUGGAAACUAUUCGCUAAAGGGUGUUCGGGAGGCUACGCCGUAAAACAACCCCAUUUCUAAGGUUGACCUCGGAUCAGGUAGGGAUACCCGCUGAACUUAAGCAUAUCAAUAAGCGGAGGA
Molecule: unclassified non-coding RNA, 331 nt
Filed under: soil metagenome
Description: partial contains 5.8S ribosomal RNA, internal transcribed spacer 2, and large subunit ribosomal RNA
Rfam family: 5.8S ribosomal RNA (bases 1-120)
Source: RNAcentral